GGUGCCCCGCUUGCGGUCGGGUUUACAGGUGGUGCAUGGUUGUCGUCAGCUCGUGUCGUGAGAUGUUGGGUUAAGUCCCGCAACGAGCGCAACCCUCGUUCUAUGUUGCCAGCGCGUGAUGGCGGGGACUCAUAGGAGACUGCCGGGGUCAACUCGGAGGAAGGUGGGGACGACGUCAAAUCAUCAUGCCCCUUAUGUCUUGGGCUUCACGCAUGCUACAAUGGCCGGUACAAAGGGUUGCGAUACUGUGAGGUGGAGCUAAUCCCAAAAAGCCGGUCUCAGUUCGGAUUGGGGUCUGCAACUCGACCCCAUGAAGUCGGAGUCGCUAGUAAUCGCAGAUCAGCAACGCUGCGGUGAAUACGUUCCCGGGCCUUGUACACACCGCCCGUCAAGUCACGAAAGUUGGUAACACCCGAAGCCGGUGGCCUAACCCCUUGUGGGAGGGAGCUGUCGAAGGUGGGACUGGCGAUUGGGACUAAGUCGAAC
RNAcentral lists this ribosomal RNA (486 nucleotides) under Arthrobacter sp. PF4M9. RNAcentral describes it as "bacterial SSU rRNA". It matches the Rfam family "Bacterial small subunit ribosomal RNA", at positions 1010 to 1492 of the family's 1533-position model. Lineage: Bacteria; Bacillati; Actinomycetota; Actinomycetes; Micrococcales; Micrococcaceae. The record is from RNAcentral.